CCUUCGGGGGGCAGCCGGGGGGAAUUUUGCCCAAUGGGGGCAACCCGGACUCAGCCAUUCCGGGGGGUGGAAAAAGGCCUUUGGGUUUUAAAGUCUUUUCUGUGGGGAGGAAGGGAGUAGGGUUAAAUCCUUUGGGCAUAGGCGUUACCCGCAGAAAAAGCCCCGGCUAAUUCCGUGCCCGCCACCGGGGUAAUUCGGAGGGGGCAAGCGUUAAUUGGAAUUUCUGGGGGUAAAGGGCUGGCCGGGGGUUUGUUAAGUCAGAUGUGGAAUUCCCCGGCUUAACCUUGGAAAUGCCUUUGAUACUGGCAAGCUUGAAUUUCGUAGAAGGGGGUAGAAUUCCAGGUGUAGCGGUGAAAUGGGUAGAGAUUGGGGGGAAUCCCGGUGGGGAAGGCGGCCCCCUGGCCAAAGACUGCCGGUUAGGUCCGAAAGGGUGGGGAGCAAACCGGAUUAGAUUCCCUGGUAGUCCCCCCCGUAAACGAUGUUAAAUGGGAGGUUGUGCCCUUGAGGCGUCAGUACCGCAGCUAACGCGUAAGUCACCGCGCUGGAGAC
This 549-nucleotide ribosomal RNA is filed under the name uncultured bacterium. RNAcentral describes it as "partial 16S ribosomal RNA". It matches the Rfam family "Bacterial small subunit ribosomal RNA", at positions 338 to 880 of the family's 1533-position model. The record is from RNAcentral.